This 253-nucleotide ribosomal RNA is filed under the name uncultured bacterium. RNAcentral's name for it is "partial 16S ribosomal RNA". It matches the Rfam family "Bacterial small subunit ribosomal RNA", at positions 524 to 776 of the family's 1533-position model. The record is from RNAcentral.
GACAGAGGUUGCAAACGUUGUUCGGAAUCACUGGGCAUAAAGCGCACGUAGGCGGUCUGUUAAGUCAGGUGUGAAAGCCCCCGGCUCAACCGGGGAACAGCAUUCGAUACUGGCAGACUCGAGGAUGGUAGGGGUGAGUGGAACUCCAGGUGGAGCGGUGAAAUGCGUAGAUAUCUGGAGGAACACCGGUGGCGAAGGCGGAUCUCUGGGCCUUACCUGACGCUCAGGCGCGAAAGCGUGGGGAGCAAACAGG